RNAcentral lists this transfer RNA (72 nucleotides) under Aerococcus sp. 1KP-2016. Its description in RNAcentral is "tRNA-Val". It matches the Rfam family "tRNA". Rfam says of the family: Transfer RNA (tRNA) molecules are approximately 80 nucleotides in length. Lineage: Bacteria; Bacillati; Bacillota; Bacilli; Lactobacillales; Aerococcaceae. The record is from RNAcentral.
GGAGGAUUAGCUCAGCUGGGAGAGCGUCUGCCUUACAAGCAGGAUGUCGGGGGUUCGAGCCCUCAUCCUCCA